RNAcentral lists this transfer RNA (134 nucleotides) under Venturia inaequalis. RNAcentral's name for it is "tRNA-Phe". The record is from RNAcentral. Lineage: Eukaryota; Fungi; Ascomycota; Dothideomycetes; Venturiales; Venturiaceae.
GCGUGGGUGGUUUAGUGGUGUCAGUAAAAUCAUCCCCUGAAGAUCAUCAUCCAUCAUACUAACAACGCAAUAGAAAAUCCGUGCUUGCCAUGAACAACUUGCACGGGCCCCGAGUUCGAUUCUCGGUCCACGCA